Molecule: ribosomal RNA, 1075 nt
Filed under: Balamuthia mandrillaris
Lineage: Eukaryota; Discosea; Longamoebia; Balamuthiidae
Description: SSU rRNA
Rfam family: Bacterial small subunit ribosomal RNA
Source: RNAcentral
CGCAUGUAUGAAGAAGACCACUAAACGUUGUAAAGUACUAAGCUCGGGGAUAAUAAUGACGGUACCCGAGUAAAAAGCCCUGACUAACUUCGUGCCAGCAGUCGCGGUAAAACGGAGAGGGCAAGUGUUAUUCGUAUUGACUGGGUGUAAAGGGUACGUAGGCGGUUAUUUAAGUUAUAAAAAAAAGCUAUAUCUUUUUAUAAUACUAUAUGACUAGAGUUAAAAAGGGGAUGGCGGUACCUCCAGUUUAGAAGUGACAUUCGUUUGAGAUUGGGGGGACCAACAAUAGGCGACGGCUGCUUUCCAUUUUUAUACUGACGCUGAGGUACGAAAGCAUGGGGAGCGAACAGGAUUAGAGACCCUGGUAGUCCAUGCCCUGACCUAUGAAUAUUAAUCGUCCAUUUAGAUAGUGGAUGACUAAGCUAACGCGAAAAUAUUCCACCUGAGGACUACGGCCGCAAGGUUAAAACUCAAAGAAAUUGGCGGAAGAUCGUUUAAGCGGUGGAGUAUGUGGUUUAAUUCGAUAAUACGCGAAAAACCUUACCAAUCUUUGUGCACAUUUUCGGUUAUACAAAACUCGUAGUCUGGAUUGAGGUGGUCAAUUUGGACUAAUUAUGUGCCAGGCGUUGCAUGGCUGUCGUAAGCUCGUGUCUUAGGAUGUGUGGUUAACUCCAUGAACGGGCGCAACCCUUGUUCCUAAUUAGAUUAGGAAUGAAAACAGUGAAAACUGCUUUUGAGGAUGAGGAGUAUGUCAAGUCAAUAUGACCUUUAUAGAUUGGGCUACACACGUACUACAACGGUAGCUACAAUGAGAAACAAUGCCGUGAGGCGGAGUAAAUCUCUAAAAUCUACCCUAGUUCGGAUUAUUUUUUGAAAUAAAAAUAUGAAGCCGGAAUCGCUAGUAAUCGCAAAAAAGAAUGUUGCGGUGAAUAUUAAGACCGAUCUUAGUACACACCGCCCGUCACGCCAUGGAAGCUUGUUUGGUUUGAAGAUAUUAAGUCACAUGUUUCGAAGUGAUUAUUCCUUAAUAAGUUCAUGUUAUGUGUGUUACUGGUAUCGACAAUUAUAUAGGUAA